CCUACGGGUGGCAGCAGUGAGGAAUAUUGGUCAAUGGACGAGAGUCUGAACCAGCCAAGUAGCGUGAAGGAGGACUGCCCUGUGGGGUGUAAACUUGUUUUAUAAAGGGAUAAAACGAGGCACGUGUGCCUUUUUGCAUGUACUUUAUGAAUAAGGAUCGGCUAACUCCGUGCCAGCAGCCGCGGUAAUACGGAGGAUCCGAGCGUUAUCCGGAUGUAUGGGGUUUAAAGGGAGCGUAGAUGGGUUGUUAAGUCAGUUGUUAAAGUUUGCGGCUCAACCGUAAAAUUGCACUUGAUACUGGCAGUCUUGAGUACAGUUGAGGUAGGCUGAAUUCGUGGUGUAGCGGUGACAUGCUUAGAUAUCACGAAGAACCCCGAUUGCGUAGGCAGCUUACUAUACUGUGACUGACAUUGAUGCUCGAAAGUCUGGGUAUCAAACAGGAUUAGAUACCCCUGUAGUC
This 460-nucleotide ribosomal RNA is filed under the name uncultured bacterium. RNAcentral describes it as "partial 16S ribosomal RNA". It matches the Rfam family "Bacterial small subunit ribosomal RNA", at positions 338 to 795 of the family's 1533-position model. The record is from RNAcentral.